This 228-nucleotide ribosomal RNA is filed under the name uncultured bacterium. Its description in RNAcentral is "partial 16S ribosomal RNA". It matches the Rfam family "Bacterial small subunit ribosomal RNA", at positions 568 to 795 of the family's 1533-position model. The record is from RNAcentral.
UACGUAGGCGGAAAAUUAAGUCAGUGGUGAAAUCCUGCAGCUUAACUGUAGAACUGCCAUUGAUACUGGUUUUCUUGAAUACAGUUGAGGUAGGCGGAAUGUGUAAUGUAGCGGUGAAAUGCUUAGAUAUUACACAGAACACCGAUUGCGAAGGCAGCUUACUAAACUGUUAUUGACGCUGAGGUACGAAAGCGUGGGGAGCGAACAGGAUUAGAUACCCUGGUAGUC